RNAcentral lists this ribosomal RNA (258 nucleotides) under uncultured bacterium. RNAcentral describes it as "partial 16S ribosomal RNA". It matches the Rfam family "Bacterial small subunit ribosomal RNA", at positions 524 to 776 of the family's 1533-position model. The record is from RNAcentral.
GACAGAGGAUGCAAGCGUUAUCCGGAAUGAUUGGGCGUAAAGCGUCUGUAGGUGGCUCUUUAAGUCCGCCGUCAAAUCCCCAGGGCUCAACCCGUGGACAGGCGGUGGAAACUACCAAGCUGGAGUACGGUAGGGGCAGAGGGAAUUUCCGGUGGAGCGGUGAAAUGCGUAGAGAUCGGAAAGAACACCAACGGCGAAAGGCAACUCUGCUGGGCCGACACUGACACUGAGAGACGAAAGCUAGGGGGAGCGAAUGGG